RNAcentral lists this ribosomal RNA (274 nucleotides) under uncultured bacterium. RNAcentral's name for it is "partial 16S ribosomal RNA". It matches the Rfam family "Bacterial small subunit ribosomal RNA", at positions 523 to 796 of the family's 1533-position model. The record is from RNAcentral.
CUACGGAGGGUGCGAGCGUUAAUCGGAAUUACUGGGCGUAAAGGGUGCGUAGGCGGCUUGAUAAGUCGGAUGUGAAAGCCCCGGGCUUAACCUGGGAAUUGCAUUCGAUACUGUCAGGCUAGAGUAUGUCAGAGGUUGGCGGAAUUCCUGGUGUAGCGGUGAAAUGCGUAGAUAUCAGGAGGAACACCAGUGGCGAAGGCGGCUAACUGGGACAAUACUGACGCUGAGGCACGAAAGCGUGGGGAGCAAACAGGAUUAGAAACCCUAGUAGUCC